GUCUUCCGGUCCUCAGAUACUCAGAGUUGAAGGGUUUUCGUGUGCUCCAACACGGAAAGCUUCGCAAUCUCACAAUAAUCAGCGUCGUUAGGAUCAUUUAUUUAUUUUAUUAAUAGGGCUGUUUGCGAAAUAGCAUGUAUUCGUCCAGAGGGGGCAAUGCGUACGGACAACAGUCAUAUACUAGCCAAUCUGCAUAUGGCCAAAAUCUGGGACCUGCUUAUGCUGGAAAUUCUGCCGGAGGGCCUGAAGGGGGGUCGCAAGUUC
Molecule: non-coding RNA, 264 nt
Organism: Prunus mume (Japanese apricot)
Lineage: Eukaryota; Viridiplantae; Streptophyta; Magnoliopsida; Rosales; Rosaceae
Source: RefSeq, a predicted model, not a curated record